RNAcentral lists this ribosomal RNA (253 nucleotides) under uncultured bacterium. RNAcentral's name for it is "partial 16S ribosomal RNA". It matches the Rfam family "Bacterial small subunit ribosomal RNA", at positions 524 to 776 of the family's 1533-position model. The record is from RNAcentral.
UACGUAGGGUGCAAGCGUUGUCCGGAAUUAUUGGGCGUAAAGAGCUCGUAGGCGGUUCGUCGCGUCGGCUGUGAAAACCCGGAGCUCAACUCCGGGCCUGCAGUCGAUACGGGCGGACUCGAGUUCGGCAGGGGAGACUGGAAUUCCUGGUGUAGCGGUGAAAUGCGCAGAUAUCAGGAGGAACACCGGUGGCGAAGGCGGGUCUCUGGGCCGAUACUGACACUGAGGAGCGAAAGCGUGGGGAGCGAACAGG